GUGAAUAAUUGUUUACAUGUCCCAAAGAGAGAGAAAGAGAAAGAGACCUUCUUGUUUGUCAAGAUCUAGGGUUUCGUAUCUCCUCUUUUUUCACAGAGAACUGCAGACCCAUCUUUGGUUGGUCUUUUCUCUAUUUGAUGAAUUUUCAUUUACCAAGAUCGAUGCCUCGUGUCUUCUAAACAAUAGUUUUUUCUUUGUCCUGCCAUGGAGUAAGACGAGAGAAGCUACUUUGAUUAAUUAUGGUCACUUCUGAUCAUGGCCCUAAUCCCUAGCUAAUUCAUUUUACUUCUAGUGAGUCUCUAACCCUAAAAUUUCUUCCCAGGCUGUGUGUCUGUAGCUCAUGGGAGUGAAUUUAUUCUAGUCUUAGGUUUGGAAGGAAGGAAAGAAAGAAAGCAGAAAGGAGCCAAAAAGAAAAGAUGGAGGGAAGUGACCAAACUGGAUGCUCCAAGACAAGAGCCUCCAGACAAUAUCAAGAUGACAGUGUGAGUGGAGCAAAUGAUGAAGAUGAAAAUAUGCCUAAAAAUGGAGCAAGUUCAAGCAAUAGCACUGUUGAAGAGAAUGACAAGAGGACGUCAGUGAGGCCCUAUGUCAGAUCCAAGAUGCCGAGGCUUCGCUGGACCCCUGAGCUCCAUCUUUGCUUCAUCAAAGCUGUGGAAAGACUUGGCGGACAAGAUAGAGCUACUCCUAAGCUAGUUCUUCAACUGAUGAAUGUCAAUGGACUGAGUAUUGCUCAUGUCAAGAGCCAUCUACAGAUGUAUAGAAGCAAGAAGUUCGAUGACCCAAGUCAAGUCAUGGCUGAUCAUAGGCAUCUUGUGGAAAGUGGAGAUAGCAAUAUUUAUAAACUUCCCAUGCUACAAGGAUACAACCAACGCCAUGGUUCCAGCUACAGAUAUGGAGAUGCUUCUUGGAAUGCUCGCGAAAACUUUGUUUAUAAUCCUCAUAUGGGUCGGUGUUUAGUCGACGAAACCAGACAAGGAUUAUAUGGGACAGUAGCCGAGAGGAUCUUUGGAGGCAACACUAAUAGCAAUGGGACCAAUUGGAAGUUCCAAACAGGUGCUUCCUCUUUUGGUUCACAGUCUAGUUGGAAAACGGAAGAGCUACUGAAAGGUGAACUACGACCAUCGCACAAUCCAAAAUUUUGGCAACCCCAAUCAAGUUCAAGCUUCACUGAGCUGAAACCUGCAGCUUACUUUCUGAAAGCCAAAGUUGGGGAAAGCGCUCUUUUUAAUAGAAGUAAUAUCCUUAUUUCAGAUAUGACAUCAUCAUCAGCAAGUAAUCUACAAGAUCAGUUGAAAUCCUUGAAAAGGAAGGCUACAGAUUGCAAACUUGAUUUGGAUCUGUCACUGAAGCUAACAGUACCAGCAAAUGAUGAUAGCCGGCGAAGUUUGAAGGACAGUGAAGUUGAUAGUGAGUUAUCUUUAUCCCUGUACUCACCAUCAUCCUCAAAGAUUAGCAGAUUGAAGGGAGGGGGAGGUUGAUAAUCAUAAAGAAAAUGCAAAAAGGGCAAGUACUCUGGAUCUGACUAUAUGAAUGAGACAAUUCUAAGUGAGAUCUUGAGGUACUUGUUCUAAACAAUGCACUUCGUUAUUGGUUUUUAAGUAAUACAAAUUAACACCAAUCAUUUUCUUUCCCUUUUUUUACCCUAAUAUUUGAUCUCUU
RNAcentral lists this unclassified non-coding RNA (1659 nucleotides) under Hevea brasiliensis (rubber tree). The record is from RNAcentral. Lineage: Eukaryota; Viridiplantae; Streptophyta; Magnoliopsida; Malpighiales; Euphorbiaceae.